GUUUUCUUUGAAAAAAAAAUCAUCAUGAAUUUUGGCGCAAAAAAACGCCAUAGUAUACUAUGUCGAAAAAAAAUGCGAUUUUUCAACAUGUUGUGAAAACAUGCCAUAUGAUGAAAUAAUGUAAAGGAGGCCGUGAAAAACACUCUAGAAAGGUUUUCUUUGAAAAAAUAAUUAUUAUGAAUUUUGGCGCAAAAAAACGCCAUAGUAUACUAUGUCGAAAAAUGUCAUUUUUCAACAUGUGAAAACAUGCAAUAUGAUGAAAUAAUGUAAAGGAGGCCGUGAAAAACACUCUAGAAAGGUUUUCGUUGAAAAAAAAAUCAUCAUGAAUUUUGGCGCAAAAAAAACGCCAUAGUAUACUAUGUCGAAAAAAAAUGCGAUUUUUCAACAUGUUGUAAAAACGUGCCAUAUGAUGAAAUAAUGUAAAGCAGGCCAUGAAAAACACUCCAGAAAGGUUUUCUUUGAAAAAAAAAUCCUGAUGAAUUUUGGCACAAGAAAACACCAUAGUAUACUAUGUUGAAAAAUGUCAUUUUUCAACAUGUUGUGAAAACAUGUCAUAUGAUGAAAUAAUGUAAAGGAAGCUGCGAAAAACACUCCAGAAAGGUUUUCUUUGAAAAAAAAAUCCUGAUGAAUUUUGGCACAAGAAAACACCAUAGCAUACUAUGUCGAAAAAUGUCAUUUUUCAACAUGUUGUGAAAAUAUGCCAUAUGAUGAAAUAAUGUAAAGGAGGCCAUGAAAAACCCUAUGGUAAGGUUCUCUUUGAAAAAAAAAAUCAUGAAUUUUGGCGCAAAAAAAACGCCAUAGUAUACUCCUUUCGGAAAAAAGUGAUUUUUCAACAUGUAAAAACAUGCCAUAUGAUGAAAUAAUGUAAAGUAGGCCGUGAAAAACACUCCAGAAAGGUUUUCUUUAAAAAAAAUCAUCAUAAAUUUUAGCGCAAAAAAACGCCAUAGUAUACUAUGUCGAAAAAUGUCAUUUUUCAACACUAAAUCUUCUUGAAAAAUGUGUUUUACUUAAGUCCACCUGUUUCAGCCAUCUCUACCCCUCAUUAGGUACCACUCUAAGGUACAUUAUACAAACAAAAGUCCAGUAGACUCACUGUGUUUUGAAAUAGCAUGCAGAGCAAGUUAGUCUGCUCACAGGAAGUUAGCACGAGCAAAAUCACUCCUCACAUGAGGCCUCUGUUUGCUGUGAUUUUCAAAGGUAAAGUAAUACUUUUGACAUAUUAUGGUGCCUAAGGAGUUGCUGAACACAAAUGUGUCAUUUGAAAUGUUAAAAAAAAGAUUUAAAAGGGUAAAAUAAUUUUUCUCAACCGUUUGGUAGAGGUCAAUAUUUAAAAAAUCGCUGGGUCACUUCAUAAAGAAACCAUUGAUUGUUGUUAUUAGUGCCCCAAAGAGAUAAGAAAUAUAAAGAAAUAAUUUUUUCAUUGCCUUAUUCUUGGUGAG
This is a long non-coding RNA of Amphiprion ocellaris (clown anemonefish), 1439 nucleotides long. NCBI's taxonomy places the organism in Eukaryota, Metazoa, Chordata, Actinopteri, Pomacentridae. The record is from Ensembl.